ACAAGAUGAGUAACAGAAGUCAUAACAUUUUAAUAGAAUUGAUAGAAGUGAUAGUAGUGGCUAGCUCCUGCCUCCUAAAUUCCUUUUUCUAAGCCAACAUAAUCUAGAAGAUAAUACUAUUACAGUAAAAAAAUUUACUACUAAAACAAACUACACUUGCAAGAAGCACUUACUAAUAGUAUAAUUAACAAUCAGUUACAUAGUAGCAUCCGUUACUGUCUCGAUGAAAGACGAUGCUUCAUUUGUAACUCCUUGUGUUGUGAUAAAUAUCACUACACGUAAUACACAACCUUGAGCCUAGCUGGAUCUUAAAACUUGAAUUCUUCUGCCAUAGUCAGUUUAACACAAAUAAGAACAAAAUAGCAUAUUAAAAGUUACUUAAAAUUCAGAAGCAAAAAUAAAAUUCCAUGAAAGUUAUUAUGCACAACCUUUAAUAAAAUCUAUACUUGUCGCAACCUUUAAUAAAAUUCCAUGAAAGUUGUUAUAAAAACUGGUCAUGCAAAUCCAUUAAAACAAUUGAUUAACUUAAUUUUUCACCAUGCGCACAUUUGAACCUAAAAUUACAAGAAUUUGCUAUAAACUUCAAAGAGAGCAAACACACCAUAAGAUGGGAUAUUCUUUGAUCUAAACUGAAUAAAUUUGAUUUGGAAGUGAUAAAUUCAUCAUCCAAAAUGAGCCAAAUUAACCUCCAAUUUCGAUUUUAAAGAACCCAACUUUAAAUAGGUCAAAACCCAAGGCAUUGAGAGAUCAAUUUCCAUUUUUAACUAUGCAUAAUAAAUAGAAAAAAAGCCAAUUAAUCAAGGAACAAUAAGGUGCAACAGAUUUAGUUUUCAAAAUCAACCAAUUUAUUUUUGUCUUUACCUUUUUCACCAGAGCAAUGAUGAGCGGUGGAUUUCUUCAAAACUAUAAUGAUUUUGGGAAAUUAAAUAACUAGUUUCAACAUUACCCUCUAGAAAACUUCAAAAUAAUUCAGGAGUUUCUUGUCAUUCUAUUAAUUAGACAAUUUUUCCCUUUUUAUGCAAAAAGCAAGAUAGAAUCAACAAUAAAAGAAUACAAAUGCAAAAUAAAGAUUUGUUACCGAGGCCAAUUUCUUGUCAUUGCCCAGAAGCCGCCGGAGUUGCCGCAACUAGCCCUCAAGUUUGUGCUAGUCGUGGAUCUCGAUCUGCGGCAUCCUGCCACGCGUCGGCAUUACCACUGCUUCCGUAGGUCUUCGCAUGGCUUGAAGUUUUUCCAAUCGAAUAAUUGCUUUUGUUAGUCUGUGGCUUCUUGGAUAAUUGCUUUUGUUUUCUAAAUUAUUUUUAUUUUCUUUCCUAAAUAAUAAUAAUAAUAAGAAUAAACAUUUGAUAUUUCAAAUUAGGUAGCUGGAUUCUGUAUUAAAU
Molecule: long non-coding RNA, 1379 nt
Filed under: Citrus maxima (pomelo)
Lineage: Eukaryota; Viridiplantae; Streptophyta; Magnoliopsida; Sapindales; Rutaceae
Description: long non-coding RNA (CMAX_LNC001354)
Source: RNAcentral